UUUAACCUAAAACGAAAAAUUGCUAAUUAUUUGAUCCCAUCUCGAACUCAUAUAUAAUUUUUUCUUUAUUGAAACUACUGUUUAAAUAACGGAAAUAUCAAUCGGUUAAA
Molecule: ribosomal RNA, 110 nt
Filed under: Polyopes affinis
Lineage: Eukaryota; Rhodophyta; Florideophyceae; Halymeniales; Halymeniaceae
Source: RNAcentral